CUUGUGAUAGAGAGAAGUUGUAAUUCUCAAAGAAAGUUAUUCAAUUGUUUCCAUAUUUUAUACAAAUUUCUAAUUUUUCAUCUCUAUAUUUUGUUGUGUCAUUUGUCUGGUACCUAACAGUCCGGGACGCGAGAACAGCGCGCGCGAUCGGAAGGUUUUGGUUGGCGUCGCUGCGAUGGUUGCUGCAGUGCCGCGAGAAGAACGCACACGAUCGACAAGUACAGGUGGUGGUGGGUCGCCUAUGCGCAUGUGGGUGAGAAACAGGGAGAACGGGAGAGAGAAGGCAAGACCGUAUAGAGAGAUUGUGUUCGUUUGUGUGUUUGAGUAACCGAUACCAACC
Molecule: long non-coding RNA, 340 nt
Filed under: Arachis ipaensis
Lineage: Eukaryota; Viridiplantae; Streptophyta; Magnoliopsida; Fabales; Fabaceae
Description: long non-coding RNA (AIPA_LNC002590)
Source: RNAcentral